Long non-coding RNA from Lagenorhynchus albirostris (white-beaked dolphin), 1876 nucleotides. RefSeq lists it as uncharacterized. Lineage: Eukaryota; Metazoa; Chordata; Mammalia; Artiodactyla; Delphinidae. The record is from RefSeq and is a predicted model, not a curated record. The transcript has 7 exons.
CAUUAUACAAGAAAAUCUCCUUUACAUUAAUAAAGUAAGAGACAGAAGUUUUUAAUUUACAUUUUUCCUUUUAGCAAAGAUUUUUUUCUAUUUUUAUUAAUUUUUAAUGAAAAAUAAUAAAUACACUUCUUACAAACAAUUGAAACAUUAGAAAAGGAUAUCCAGUGGGAAGUAGGUCCACAUCUCUCAGAAGUGUUCCAGGCACAUACAAACAUGUGUUUUAUAUCAAUUUAUAGCUCCAUCUUUGCACAUCAUCUUAUUCUCUGCUUUUUUUCACAGGUGCCAUGUAUUCUUCCGUACCCUGAUGUUUUUCACUUAAGUAAUUUUGGAGGUUUCCCCAGAACAGUACAUGUAGAUCAAGCUCAUUUUCAAUGCUGCAUGGUAUUCCAGGAUGGAGAUCUGGGGAGACAGAGUGGUAAGAAGAAUGGAAGAUCUUUCCUGAUUGAUAUUAUUGUGGUCAGUCUUCUCCAGACUCAGCAGAUAUUUUAAGGCACUUCAGCUGAGUCCUGUGCAUGCUAAGGUCUGAGAACUCUGACCUUAAGGGAAGGAGAGGCUGGGAAGCCUUAGAAGGGACCCUGUAACAUUGCUAAGGAAGAUGGUUAUUGGAGAAUGACUGUGGAUUCUUAUGGAAUCAUUCAGGUACCGGACCAGAUGUAGCCUCUUUACUGGAUAACACAACAGUGCUUCUGGUGCUUUGAAGGCAACCAUUGAUCUGGCGGUUGCUUUUUUUCCUCAACACCAAAUUAGCAAAGAUCCCCAGGUGGAGUUUGCUCCCAAUUAGCAGGAUCAGCAAAACACCCUCCCUGUCUUACCUCAGACCUCUGUGACUCUUCCGCUGUCUGACAACAUCCAGUCUGCAGGGGCCUGGAUCAUCUUGAUAUUCCCCGGAACACCAUGCUAAUAUAUUACAUUAUUGACACGGUGAGCAGGAAGCAGCACAUACUCUCCAUGCCUUAAUAAGACAUAUGUAGGCCAGAGGGUGGGAGAGAAACGCCAAGAAAAGUCAAAGGCCUACUACCUCAGUGAAGUUUCUAAGGGGUCCAGGGGUCUGAGAAAUGUGGGCAUUUCCUCUCCAAAUAGAAGGGCAAAUUGCUAUACUUUGUAUCACCUACCACUGAGAAAGAGCUACAGUGUUCUAUAUCUCUUGAUUUUUGAGAUAACAUAGCCUCUUUCUGAGGGUAUUGUUCAAAGCAACAUUUGAGUGAUCCACAAAGCUGCCGAGUUUUGUGUGGGGACCAGAGCAGAAAAAGCCUCCCUAGCAGCGUUUCUCAGCAUCAGCAGUGCUGACAUUUGGGGGACAAAUAAUUCUUCAAUGUGGGAGGCUAUCUGUGAAUGGUAGGAUGUUGUUUAGCAGCAUCCCUGGCCUCUACGUCCGGUUGUGACAUCCAGAAAUCUCUACAGACAUCGCCAGAUAUCCCAGGGGGAGCAAAACUGCUGUCACUUGAGAAUCCCUGGCCUACAGCAUGUCUAGCAAUACACUGAUCUACCAAGCCAUACGGUUGGCGUACACAGCAGCAAUUGUCCAGUGUAGGCAGUGUACACCAGACUGGAGUUGAGCAGGUCCUGAAUGUGCAGUUGUGAAGCAGAGGAAGGUGCUAUUAGAAGUACCAGGUCUGACAUCAACACGAAUUGGUUUUACCUCUUGCUGGAAAGUAGCUGAUCCAUCAAUAAGGAUCCCAUCCUCUUUCAAAAAUGAAUCGUUUAAUCAUGUCAAAAGAUCUCAAAGGCUGAUCAUAGGGCAAAAUGUGGCCUCCACCUCGAACAAUUACCUUAAAGAAGAAAAACAGAAGAAAAACUGAAAUCUAGAGAAUCGGAUAUUCCAGAUAAAUGGCAAGUUUUAAUUUGGAUUUAAGUAUUCUUAAAGCUUACAUGAAAU